This 1063-nucleotide long non-coding RNA is filed under the name Homo sapiens (human). RNAcentral's name for it is "HSALNT0118653". The record is from RNAcentral. Lineage: Eukaryota; Metazoa; Chordata; Mammalia; Primates; Hominidae.
AGGCAAAAUGGCAGUUAAACUGGUUUCCGACUUUCCUCUGGAACGCUCGACUGCUUAAGAGAAAAAUGCCUCAAAUGAGCAUGUGCACAACUCCAGCAAACACGCUGGACAUGCGGCCUCUCCCAAGUGCUGGCAGGCCACUGCACAUGUGGACCCACGGGAAGAAUCAGGAGAGAAGAAAUGCAAACCCCAGAGUCAUGCCAAGAUGUAAUGGUGAAGUUGAGAUGAUGAUCAGAGUCUUACUUCAGACAAAUCAUGAGUCUCAGAGGAAGUGAUGACAGAGAUGUCUGUGGAAACUAUUGAAGAGGAAGGCUUUGCUAAAUCUUCAUGGAGAGAGUCCUUUCUAUGGAGGAGACAUUAUGCUAGAAUUUUCACACAGAUUAUUUUAUUUAACUCCAAGAACUACUCCAUGAAAUAGGCAUGAUCAUCACCUUCAUUGUUUACAGAGAUUCUGGCUUCCCCACUGUAAGAACUGAAGAUACUGCAGCUGAAUUGAUGUCAUGAAAAGGCCUUCAUUCAAUUAGAGUGGGUAUCUUGUGUGGUCUCUAUUUAAUAACUUCCACUUUUGUACAUUUCAAUUUCUGUACGUGCUCUGAGAUAAACAGCCAGAGUCUUUAAGCAAGAGAGACAACAACUAAAAACAACAAUGAAAACUUAGUUACAGCUACAGCGAUAUAUAGGUCUUUAUAAAAGUAGCAGUUCCAUUGUGAAGGCGGUGAUAAAUGUAAAACCAUAAAUUCUGGAAAUAGUCGUAGUAAAUAGAUAGAAACAAGAGUGGUUCACAGAUAAGGAUAUGAAGCAUACUCACUGUAUUUUACCAAAAAUGAUGUUCCUAUAUUUUGUAGACCAGAGAGCCUUUUUAAAGGAAACAAAUUCAUAACCAAAUACCAUCUAGAAUUACCUCUAUUAAUAAAUUGUCAAUGUAAUAUUUUAAUUAAAACAUAUAUCACGUAUUUUCUUCUCUGUAUAAUUUUAUAAAAUAUCUAUGAUAAGAAAGAAAAUAAUGGAAUGCAUUUUCUUUAACAUAUUAUCCUACAUUAUACUCUUUCUAAUCUCUAGAGAC